This 497-nucleotide ribosomal RNA is filed under the name uncultured bacterium. Its description in RNAcentral is "bacterial SSU rRNA". It matches the Rfam family "Bacterial small subunit ribosomal RNA", at positions 28 to 514 of the family's 1533-position model. The record is from RNAcentral.
GAUGAACGCUAGCGAUAGGCCUAACACAUGCAAGUCGAGGGGCAUCACAUGAAGUAGCAAUACGGAUGGUGGCGACCGGCGCACGGGUGAGUAACACGUAUGCAACCUGCCUUCAACAAGGGGAUAACCCGUUGAAAGACGGACUAAUACCCUAUAACACAGGGGUCCCGCAUGGGGAUAUUUGUUAAAGGACAACCGGUUGAAGAUGGGCAUGCGUUCCAUUAGCUAGUUGGCGGGUAAGGGCCCACCAAGGCAACGAUGGAUAGGGGAACUGAGAGGUUUAUCCCCCACACUGGUACUGAGACACGGGACCAGACUCCUACGGGAGGCAGCAGUGAGGAAUAUUGGUCAAUGGACGCAAGUCUGAACCAGCCACGUCGCGUGAAGGAAGACGGCCCUACGGGUUGUAAACUUCUUUUGCAAGGGAAUAAAGUGGGCCACGUGUGGCCUUUUGCAAGUACCUUGCGAAUAAGGAUCGGCUAACUCCGUGCCAGCAG